Long non-coding RNA from Cyprinus carpio (common carp), 456 nucleotides. RefSeq lists it as uncharacterized. NCBI's taxonomy places the organism in Eukaryota, Metazoa, Chordata, Actinopteri, Cypriniformes, Cyprinidae. The record is from RefSeq and is a predicted model, not a curated record. The transcript has 3 exons.
CUGAACACUUGUGUUAAACAAAUGAAAAAAUUCACUUUGCAUGUGUUGGGGAAAUAUUACAGGAAUAUUUAUAAUGAACUUGGAGCUGUUAUAACAGUUAGGGUGUAUUGUAACAUUUGUGGAAUUCUUGAAAGAAUCUGUUUGAGAUGUCUGGCCAACACUGUUUAAAAUCUUUAAAGGUUAUGCUGCCAUCUCAAAGGAGGGCUUUGUUCCUUGAUCCUCUGGGAAAAAGUUCUGCAAAACAGAAACGAUGCCAGGAUAUAACAAGGUGGUCCUGUGAUACGCUGCCUCACCCAAAACAAGAUGGCACAUCCUGCGGUGUCUUUGCUUUGAAAUUUGCUGAAUUUGUAUUUAGAGAGGAGCCAAUUAUUUUCCUUAACACACCAGAAGGAGUGGAAGAACUGAGGAAAGCAAUAGCUGUGACUCUUCUCCAAAACAGCGGUACAUGUAAUGUAC